This 786-nucleotide long non-coding RNA is filed under the name Anas zonorhyncha (Eastern spot-billed duck). RNAcentral describes it as "lncRNA (ENSAZOG00000007529.1)". The record is from RNAcentral. Lineage: Eukaryota; Metazoa; Chordata; Aves; Anseriformes; Anatidae.
GGACGGGUGACAUUAAGGGGGGGUGGGCGACCCCAGGGGGGGCUGGGUGACCCCCGGGGGUGACGUUUUUUUUGGGGGGGGGGCGCAGGCGCCUGUGCGAGCAGCAGUACGGGAACGCGCCGCGGGUGCGCAUCAACGGGCACGUGGCCGCCCGCUUCCCCUUCAUCCCCCUGCCCCUCGACUACAUCCUGCCCGAGCUGCUCAAGAACGCCAUGAGGAUCUCGGACCGGGGCGGGGGCAUCCCCCACGAGCUGCUGGACAAGGUGACCCAGUACCACUUCAGCACGGCCGAGGCCAGCGCCCAGGACCCCCGCCUGGGGGGCCCCUUCCGCAACCUCCUGGACCUCAGCCACGGCCCCCAGGCCUGCCCCAUGCACGGUUUUGGCUUCGGGUUGCCCACCUCCCGCGCCUACGCCGAGUACCUGGGGGGCUCGCUCUGCCUGCAGUCGCUGCAGGGGGUGGGCACCGACGUCUACCUGCGCCUCCGACACAUCGACGGCAAGGGGGAGAGCUUCCGAAUUUAGGGGGGGGGCCCAAAAUCUGCCUCGGGGACUCCAAAUUCUCCUUGGGGACUCCAAAAUCCUACUCGGCGGCCUCAAAAUCCUACUCGGGGACUCCAAAUUCCUCCUCGAGGAGCCCAGAUUCUCCUUGGUGGCCUCAAAAUCCUACUCGGGGACCUCAAAAUCCUCCUUGGGGACUCCAAAUUCAUCCUCAGCGGCCUCAAAUUCUACUCAACGGCCUCAAAAUCCUCCUUGGGGACUCCAAAAUCCUCCUCGGCGGCCUCAA